AGUGAACGCUGGCGGUAGGCCUAACACAUGCCAGUCGAACGGCAGCACAGUAAGAGCUUGCUCUUACGGGUGGCGAGUGGCGGACGGGUGAGGAAUACAUCGGAAUCUACUUUUUCGUGGGGGAUAACGUAGGGAAACUUACGCUAAUACCGCAUACGACCUACGGGGGAAAGCAGGGGAUCUUCGGACCUUGCGCGGAUGAAUGAGCCGAUGUCGGAUUAGCUAGUUGGGGGGGUUAAGGCCCACCAAGGCGAGGAUCCGUAGCUGGUCUGAGAGGCGGGUCGCCCGCAUUGGAACUGAGCCACGGUCCAGACUCCUACGGGAGGCAGCAGUGUGGAAUAUUGGACAAUGGGGGGAAACAUGGUCCAGCCGUACCGAGUGGGUGAAGGAGGCCUUGGGGUUGUAAAGCCCUUUUGUUGGGUAAGAAACGCAUUAGGCUAAGACCCCGCUGUUCUGACGGUACCCAAUAAAGAAGCACCGGCUAACUUCGUG
This 492-nucleotide ribosomal RNA is filed under the name uncultured bacterium. RNAcentral's name for it is "partial 16S ribosomal RNA". It matches the Rfam family "Bacterial small subunit ribosomal RNA", at positions 29 to 507 of the family's 1533-position model. The record is from RNAcentral.